AUGCUUGUUGGAUUUAAUCAGAGAUCUACUUGUUUACUGUUGCUGUUUUUGAUUUAACUCUUGAUGUUUUUGAUCCUUUGUUAAUUUGUUUGGGAUGUUUUCCUGUAUGUGAUGUGAAGUUAAUACUUCACCCAUUCCAAAAGGAAUCAACUUUGAGUCAUCUGAAAUAGAUAAUUGUAAGUAGCGUAGCAUAAAAUAGUGAAAUUUGACUCCCUCAAGGAAAUGAAUCAACAACAUCAAACAAAGUAACCCUGCAACUCCUUUUUACUUGUGUAGUGUGUAUCUUGUGCUCCCUUUAAGAAAAUAUUAUUUAAGUUUCUUUAUCUGAAUUAUCCUUAUGAAUGUUAUGAGUAAUUUAAAUUAGUGCUAUCACCUUUAAAAUCCAAUAUUAACAGAAGCAGUGAUUUGAAUUUGAGAGUUUCAAUUUGAACUUAGUAAUUGAAACCAACUAGUAAUUGGAGCCAGAAUGUUUUAACAUUAAUAUUCCGUCCUUUCCUUUUUACUUGUCCAGUAUGUUAGGUAGAUUUUUCUUUUUACUUGUCCGAUCUAGCAAAUUAAAAGAGAAUUAAUUGAUUUUCCAUUUUUACCCUUAUCAAGUAACUAUCUCAAUACUUGCCGAAGUGAUAGGAGUGAAAUUUAGUUUUCCAAAGCAUAUUAAUUGCGAUGGGCAACUACAGCAGCUUCAAUUUCCCAAGCCGACGCAACAAUACUAUGGAGUAGUAUCUUGUCUUCACUAUAUAAAUUACUUUUACCCUAGAUAUUCAUUCUAUGCUAUGGAGUACUAUGAUGCAUGUGGGUUUGAGUCAUUCCCAUCCCAAGUGGUGCGCGAUUCAGCCUGGUCGGUCAGGAAGAGAUUCACCUAGAGACUAUUGCUAUUUUGAGAAUAUGUUUCUAUUUUAGCUAGUGGAGGCGGCUACCCUAUCAUAGUCUUAUUGUGGCGUGUAAGUGGCCAUCCCAUCACUUAGUACUCCCGUAGAACCAAUAUCCUGAGUAAAAAACAAUUUAUAUACUGGAGCCAAAAUGGGAAGUUGUUGUAGUUGCCCAUUGCAAUUACAAAUAGGUUGGGGAAACUUGGAAAAUUGCUACUUAAUGAUAAGGGUAAAAUUGAGUACAAAUUAGUCUCUCUUGAUUUGCUGAAGUGGACAAGUAAAAUAAAAAAAAUAUAUUUUAGUAUACUAGACAAGUAAAGAAGCAAUGGGUUGGUAUUAAUGUUUCAAACAUUGUGGCUCCAAUUACUAAGAUUCAAGUUGAAACAUAUUGUUUCAAAUCAUUGCUUCUGUUGCUAGAAUGGAGAUUUAAAAGUAUAGUAUUAAUAGAGAUUAAUGAGAGGUAAUCUAGUAAGAUAAAUACUUAAUUAAUAUUUUCUUAAGGGGUGUGCAAAAUGCAUAUUGAACAAACAAAAAGGAGCAGGGGGAGUAUUACUUUGUUUACUGUAGUUGAUUCAUUUCCUUGAGGUGACAUAUUUGCUGUUUCACCACUUGGUCUUAACUGUGUUUACUGGUGAUGUUAAUUAUAUUUUAAAGAUAAGCCUGUAUUCUAGUUUUUGCUUAUAAUUCGUAUGAUCAGAAAUUCUGCUAAUUUAAUUAACUAUGAUUUUGUUUUUGCGCGAAAUCGGUGGAUUCCGAAACUCUCAAUUAUUUCAAUAAGCAGGUCUAAAUGAAACGAAAUGGUUUCACUAUUCUUCACACCAUACCUCAACUAGUUUGAGAUUGAGGUGUAGUUGUUAUUGAUCGAGCAUGAUUGAGUUGAUGUGUCUGUUAUGCUUAUGAUUCAGAAAUGGAAAACCAACAUGUAAUAAUAUUAUGUCAUGCAAAUUUAUGGAUUCAUGGUUUGGAAUAGCAUCUCAUGUGUUAGAUAAGUAUGAAGAUUGGCUAGUUAGGUACUUUCCCAUAAUCUAUUUUCAAGGAUUUAAGACUGUCUUUUCUAAAGUUGC
Molecule: long non-coding RNA, 1933 nt
Filed under: Nicotiana benthamiana
Lineage: Eukaryota; Viridiplantae; Streptophyta; Magnoliopsida; Solanales; Solanaceae
Description: long non-coding RNA (NBEN_LNC002804)
Source: RNAcentral